RNAcentral lists this ribosomal RNA (403 nucleotides) under uncultured bacterium. Its description in RNAcentral is "partial 16S ribosomal RNA". It matches the Rfam family "Bacterial small subunit ribosomal RNA", at positions 30 to 526 of the family's 1533-position model. The record is from RNAcentral.
AUUGAACGCUGGCGGCAGGCCUAACACAUGCAAGUCGAGCGAGCGGCGGACGGGUGAGUAAUGUAUGGGGACUGCACGAUAGAGGGGGAUAACUACUGGAAACGGUAGCUAAUACCGCAUACUAUCGGAUAACCCAGAUGGGAUUAGCUAGUAGGUGGGGUAAUGGCUCACCUAGGCGACGAUCCCUCGCUGGUCUGAGAGGAUGAGCAGCCACACUGGGACUGCGACACGGCCCAGACUCCUACGGAGUCAGCAGUGGGGAAUAUUGCACAAUGGGCGCAAGCCUGAUGCAUCCAUGCCGCGUGUGUGAAGAAGGCCCUAGGGUUGUAAAGUACUUUCAGUCGGGAGGCGUUACCGACAGAAGAAGCACCGGCUAACUCCGUGCCAGCAGCCGCGGUAAUAC